RNAcentral lists this long non-coding RNA (209 nucleotides) under Elaeis guineensis (African oil palm). RNAcentral's name for it is "long non-coding RNA (EGUI_LNC055790)". The record is from RNAcentral. Lineage: Eukaryota; Viridiplantae; Streptophyta; Magnoliopsida; Arecales; Arecaceae.
CCGACCUUGUGUGUGGCAUCUCUCCGAACCCCUCGACCAUCCAGACUUCUCCGACAAUAAGCUUCUCCAUCCAUCUACUAUGUCGCUUCAAAGGCUCUCUAGCCCUCACUGUCAGCCGACCUUCUACAGUGAUCAACUACUCUCUGAACUCCUUCCGGACUUCAUCAAUAUCCGAGCUUCUUCGACAUUGAGAUUUCUAUGGUAAUCAG